RNAcentral lists this small RNA (81 nucleotides) under Arabidopsis thaliana (thale cress). RNAcentral's name for it is "ATSL140850". The record is from RNAcentral. Lineage: Eukaryota; Viridiplantae; Streptophyta; Magnoliopsida; Brassicales; Brassicaceae.
AUAAAAUUCAUAAUACAAUUUGAUUUUGCAAUACAAAUACAUUUUAAUUCUAUACACUCCAUCUUAUUGUUAGUUUUUCUU